RNAcentral lists this unclassified non-coding RNA (339 nucleotides) under soil metagenome. Its description in RNAcentral is "partial contains 5.8S ribosomal RNA, internal transcribed spacer 2, and large subunit ribosomal RNA". The stretch from base 1 to 120 matches the Rfam family "5.8S ribosomal RNA", at positions 35 to 154 of the family's 154-position model. The record is from RNAcentral.
GAUGAAGAACGCAGCGAUAUGCGAUACGUAGUGUGAAUUGCAGAAUUCAGUGAAUCAUCGAAUCUUUGAACGCACAUUGCACCUCUCGGUAUUCCGGGAGGUAUGCCUGUUCGAGCGUCAUUUGUACCCUCAAGCUCUGCUUGGUGUUGGGUGUUUGUUCCGCCUCUGUGUGUGAACUCGCCUCAAAACAAUUGGCAGCCGGCGUACUUGUUUCGGAGCGCAGCACAUUUUGCGAUCCAGAUCAACGUACAGCGGCAUCCAAGAAGCCUUAUUUAACGCUCUUGACCUCGGAUCAGGUAGGGAUACCCGCUGAACUUAAGCAUAUCAAUAAGCGGAGGA